UCUCCGUGGGUGAACCUGCGGAGGGAUCAUUACAGAGUUCAUGCCCUACCGGGUAGAUCUCCCACCCUAUGUUAUUAUUACUUUGUUGCUUUGGCGGGCCGUUAGGCUCCGGCCCGACUACCGGCCCCGGCUGGUAAGCGCCCGCCAGAGGACCCAAAACCCUGAAUAUUAGUGUCGUCUGAGUACUAUAUAAUAGUUAAAACUUUUAACAACGGAUCUCUUGGUUCUG
This 229-nucleotide unclassified non-coding RNA is filed under the name plant metagenome. Its description in RNAcentral is "partial contains small subunit ribosomal RNA, internal transcribed spacer 1, and 5.8S ribosomal RNA". The record is from RNAcentral.